AGUGGCGGACGGGUGAGUAAUGUCUGGGAAACUGCCUGAUGGAGGGGGAUAACUACUGGAAACGGUAGCUAAUACCGCAUAACGUCGCAAGACCAAAGAGGGGGACCUUCGGGCCUCUUGCCAUCGGAUGUGCCCAGAUGGGAUUAGCUAGUAGGUGGGGUAACGGCUCACCUAGGCGACGAUCCCUAGCUGGUCUGAGAGGAUGACCAGCCACACUGGAACUGAGACACGGUCCAGACUCCUACGGGAGGCAGCAGUGGGGAAUAUUGCACAAUGGGCGCAAGCCUGAUGCAGCCAUGCCGCGUGUAUGAAGAAGGCCUUCGGGUUGUAAAGUACUUUCAGCGGGGAGGAAGGCGAUAAGGUUAAUAACCUUGUCGAUUGACGUUACCCGCAGAAGAAGCACCGGCUAACUCCGUGCCAGCAGCCGCGGUAAUACGGAGGGUGCAAGCGUUAAUCGGAAUUACUGGGCGUAAAGCGCACGCAGGCGGUCUGUCAAGUCGGAUGUGAAAUCCCCGGGCUCAACCUGGGAACUGCAUUCGAAACUGGCAGGCUAGAGUCUUGUAGAGGGGGGUAGAAUUCCAGGUGUAGCGGUGAAAUGCGUAGAGAUCUGGAGGAAUACCGGUGGCGAAGGCGGCCCCCUGGACAAAGACUGA
RNAcentral lists this ribosomal RNA (653 nucleotides) under Enterobacter sp. J17. RNAcentral describes it as "bacterial SSU rRNA". It matches the Rfam family "Bacterial small subunit ribosomal RNA", at positions 94 to 743 of the family's 1533-position model. RNAcentral also lists the same sequence under 1 other name. Lineage: Bacteria; Pseudomonadati; Pseudomonadota; Gammaproteobacteria; Enterobacterales; Enterobacteriaceae. The record is from RNAcentral.